AAUCAACGCUGGCGGCGUGCCUAACACAUGCAAGUCGAACGGGAAAACGGGGCGAACUCCGUGAGUAUAGUGGCGUACGGGUGAGUAACACGUGACUACCUACCUUUGAGUGGGGGAGUAACCCCGGGAAACCGGGGCGUAAUACCGCAUAACAUCGCAAGAUCAAAGAAGCAAUUCGCUUAAAGAGGGGGUCGGCGGCUGAUUAGCUCGUUGGUGGGGUAAUGGCUCACCAAGGCGACGAUCGGUAGGGGGUCUGAGAGGACGAU
RNAcentral lists this ribosomal RNA (266 nucleotides) under uncultured bacterium. RNAcentral's name for it is "partial 16S ribosomal RNA". It matches the Rfam family "Bacterial small subunit ribosomal RNA", at positions 32 to 304 of the family's 1533-position model. The record is from RNAcentral.